UACGUAGGGUGCGAGCGUUGUCCGGAAUUAUUGGGCGUAAAGGGCUCGUAGGCGGUCUGUUGCGUCGGGAGUGAAAACUCAGGGCUUAACCCUGAGCCUGCUUCCGAUACGGGCAGACUAGAGGUAUGCAGGGGAGAACGGAAUUCCUGGCGUAGCGGUGAAAUGCGCAGAUAUCAGGAGGAACACCGGUGGCGAAGGCGGGUCUCUGGGCCGUAACUGACGCUGAGGAGCGAAAGCAUGGGGAGCGAACAGG
Molecule: ribosomal RNA, 253 nt
Filed under: uncultured bacterium
Lineage: Bacteria
Description: partial 16S ribosomal RNA
Rfam family: Bacterial small subunit ribosomal RNA
Source: RNAcentral